Molecule: small nucleolar RNA, 138 nt
Filed under: Ornithorhynchus anatinus (platypus)
Lineage: Eukaryota; Metazoa; Chordata; Mammalia; Monotremata; Ornithorhynchidae
Source: RNAcentral
CACCUCUCAGGGUCGCACCUGGAGAGUUUCCAGGACUCUACCAGUCUCAGCUAUGGGAGGGAGAGUCUAGCAGAGGCAUAUCCAUUCCAUUCCUAGCUUGGCCAGUGGCUAGUGAGUGGAAGGCAAUGUGCUACAAAU